RNAcentral lists this ribosomal RNA (516 nucleotides) under uncultured bacterium. RNAcentral describes it as "bacterial SSU rRNA". It matches the Rfam family "Bacterial small subunit ribosomal RNA", at positions 796 to 1312 of the family's 1533-position model. The record is from RNAcentral.
CACGCNGUAAACGAUGAGUGCUAGGUGUUAGACCCUUUCCGGGGUUUAGUGCCGCAGCUAACGCAUUAAGCACUCCGCCUGGGGAGUACGACCGCAAGGUNGAAACUCAAAGGAAUUGACGGGGGCCCGCACAAGCGGUGGAGCAUGUGGUUUAAUUCGAAGCAACGCGAAGAACCUUACCAGGUCUUGACAUCCCUCUGACCGCUCUAGAGAUAGAGUUUUCCUUCGGGACAGAGGUGACAGGUGGUGCAUGGUUGUCGUCAGCUCGUGUCGUGAGAUGUUGGGUUAANNNNNNCAACGAGCGCAACCCCUAUUGUUAGUUGCCAUCAUUUAGUUGGGCACUCUAGCGAGACUGCCGGUAAUAAACCGGAGGAAGGUGGGGAUGACGUCAAAUCAUCAUGCCCCUUAUGACCUGGGCUACACACGUGCUACAAUGGCUGGUACAACGAGUCGCAAGCCGGUGACGGCAAGCUAAUCUCUUAAAGCCAGUCUCAGUUCGGAUUGUAGGCUGCAACU